UCCCCGUUGGCCGGGGCAGUCUCGCCUGAAAAAUACAACAGACGAUAAGGGUUGCGCUCGUUGCGGGACUUAACCCAACAUCUCACGACACGAGCUGACGACGGCCAUGCAGCACCUGUCACCUAUCCAACUAAAUGACGCCUUAAUUUCUUAAGGCUACGAUAGGGAUGUCAAGCCUCGGUAAGGUUCUUCGCGUAGCUUCGAAUUAAACCACAUGCUCCACUGCUUGUGCGGAGUCCCGUCUAUUCCUUUGAGUUUUAGCCUUGCGGCCGUACUCCCCAGGCGGGAUGCUUAACGCGUUAGCUUCUCAACGCAAAGGGUCGAUACUUCGCACUAAUAGCAUCCAUCGUUUACGGCGUGGACUAC
Molecule: unclassified non-coding RNA, 366 nt
Filed under: uncultured bacterium
Lineage: Bacteria
Description: contains 16S-23S intergenic spacer region
Source: RNAcentral